GGAGAGGUGUCCGAGCGGUUUAAGGAGCACGCUUGGAAAGCGUGUGUAGCCACAAGUUACCCAGGGUUCAAAUCCCUGCCUCUCCGCCA
RNAcentral lists this transfer RNA (89 nucleotides) under Candidatus Omnitrophota bacterium. Its description in RNAcentral is "Candidatus Omnitrophica bacterium tRNA-Ser". It matches the Rfam family "tRNA". From Rfam's summary of the family: Transfer RNA (tRNA) molecules are approximately 80 nucleotides in length. Their secondary structure includes four short double-helical elements and three loops (D, anti-codon, and T loops). Lineage: Bacteria; Pseudomonadati; Candidatus Omnitrophota. The record is from RNAcentral.